AGUGACAGUUGGCUGUGGUUCAAACAAUUCUCAUCUUAGUUCAGUUUCUCUGCAAAACAACUUGAACCCAGGGAGAGACAGGGACAGGCAGGGAACGCCGUAUUAUUCUCGCGUAUAGAUUAUAUGUAUAAAUAAAGUCCAGUCAAUACGAAGAUAUAGUACCCAGUAGUAUGAAAGAUGUUAUCAUGCAACCUCUGACCUCCAGCGCCGUGCUCUCCGUUCAAUUGUGAUUUUUGUCAAGCCGCCCCAUGUCAUAUAUAUUCAGCUCAGAAGGAGAGCUGCUCAAAAAUACCAAUGAUGACGGCUAUCUCAAAUCAAGAGUGAAAAAGGAAAGAAGAAAAGAAACAAACAGCUUCACCACGUAUAUUACAUGAAGACAGGUCGUUCUCCUAGAAGAAAAGUGAAAGGGCCAUUGCAAAUCGAGACGUAACUAAAGGGAAAAUAGAAAGGUUCGUAUAGUAUAGUGACCGCUCAGCGAUGUGUGUAUAGAUAUACUAUAUGCAACUUACGGAUUUAUAAAUCAUGUCAUAGACGAAACCCCUGAUACUACAAAAUUGCUCCUUUUCACAACUUCGAGCUUGCGCCCAGGGCAGUUCUUCUGAGUUGCUUGGUAGACAUAUCCAGGUUUUCCGCAGACGACUCCUCUGCUGCGG
Molecule: small RNA, 653 nt
Filed under: Histoplasma capsulatum
Lineage: Eukaryota; Fungi; Ascomycota; Eurotiomycetes; Onygenales; Ajellomycetaceae
Also listed under: 1 other name
Description: hypothetical RNA
Source: RNAcentral